AUGGCGCAACCCGACGAGGGCAACGAGGCACUGGAUCGGGAGACCACCUCUCUGCCCACGGCUACUCCAAUCAGGCAAUUUCCGACGACUGAGACUAAUGGCCAGCCCUCGAUGAGAAGCACACCGGCGGCCUCUGCUCCAGAAUCCUCUCUGCCCACAGCUACUCCGACCAUGCAAUUGCCAAGAACUGAGACUAAUGGCCAGCCGAGAAUGAGCAACACACCAGUGAAUAAUCAAGACAUACAAGAUGCAGAUAAUACUCGAAGAGUUGGGAAGUGCUUUCAGUCUGAAGAAGAGGCGUACCAAUUUUACAAUUCUUAUGCUCAAACCAAGGGAUUUAGCAUUAGGAAGUGCCACUUGAAGUUUAGAGCAGAUGGGACUUUAAGUUCCAGAUAUUUUGUUUGUAGCAAGGCAGGUGUGAAAAAUGCUAAUCCAACACAUGUGGCCAAGAAAGAACAAGCUAUUUCGAGGACUAAUUGUAUGGCUCGAGUUCAAUUCCGCAUCAAUCAAGAGGGAAUUUGGACUGCUCAGAAAGUUACGCUCGACCACAAUCACCAGCUUGUAAGUCCAGAUAAGAGGCACAUGCUUAGAUCGCAGCGUCAACUCUUAGAUGCCGAUCGCCACAUGAUUAAGCAAAUGAGGGCAUCGGGAAUUAAACAAGCCGAAAUAUAUGAUUUUUGCGAGCUUUGGUAUGGUAAAGAUGCUAUACCCUUCUUGCAAAUGGAUUGCAACAAUUAUUUGCGAAGUGAGCGCUCAAAGUAUUUGGAAACCAAAGAUGCACAAACAUUAAUGGAGUAUCUAAAGAACAAGCAAGCUGAGGACCCUUCGUUUUUCUAUGCCAUGCAGUUAGAUGAUGAUGAUGGUACAAUAAUGAACAUCUUUUGGACCGAUGGACAAGCUAUCAUGGACUAUUCUGUCUUUGGAGAUGCCCUUUCCUUUGACAUCACAUUUUCAACAAAUAAAUUUCAAAUGCCAUUUGCUCCAUUUAUUGGUGUUAAUCAUCACAAGCAGACUAUUCUUUUUGGUGCAGCACUACUAUCUAAUGAAUCUGCAGAUACCUUUGAGUGGGUUUUUAGAACCUUUCUACAAGCUAUGUCUGGUAAGCAGCCUGAAACAAUAUUCACCGAUCAAUGUGCCGCCAUUAUAAAUGCUAUUGGAAGGGUUUUCCCAAGAACACGGCAUCGUCUUUGUUUAUGGCAUUUGUAUCAAAAUGCUGCAAAACAUCUAAGUCAAGUAAUCAGCGACAAUGAUAAUUUUCUUAAAGAAUUCAAAAGGUGUGUGUAUGAAGAUAGAUCACUGGCACAUUUUGAGAAUAGAUGGCAUGAGCUAUUGCUUAAGUAUCAGAUUGAGGAUAAUUCUUGGAUACCUGCUUGUUCUAAAUGCAUUGCUCGUCUUCGCCGGAAAGAAAAAUACGAAGACUACAAGUCACGCCAUAUGAUACCUGCUUGUUCUAAAUGUUGUAUGUAUAUUGUGCAACCCUUCUGA
Molecule: ribosomal RNA, 1485 nt
Filed under: Triticum aestivum (bread wheat)
Lineage: Eukaryota; Viridiplantae; Streptophyta; Magnoliopsida; Poales; Poaceae
Description: partial small subunit ribosomal RNA
Source: RNAcentral